GGGAGGAGGGAUAGAAUUAGGAUAGAAUAACAUCGGUUUGUUUCUGAUAAUAGAGCCUUCAAAUCGACGAUCGAUAUCAUUGAAUAUAAUUUAAAUUACUUGAAAUAUCUAAAAAUUAGAUUUCAUAUUUUUUUUGAUAUUAUUUUCUCGUGAAUUAAGUAGACACAAAAAUAAACCAUUGAAGAUAAAUAUUCUUUAAAAAGUGAUGAUGGAAUUAUUGUACUCAAGAUCAACAGCGUAGAUCUUGUUUUAAAUAGUUUGAAAAUAUUUCUAACAAAAAUUUAAUUGAUUUGAAUUUCUUUACACUGUUAAGUGACUGAACGCUUCGUAUCAAUUAUUGAGAUACAAAUUUUGUGACUCUUUGAUUAUUAGGUCAAAUUAUAAAGAGAAACAUAGAGAGAGAGAAUGGUAGAAUUUUAUACCUUUUGAUUUUUUUAGAAAUAAACUCAGCCAAAAAUAUAAAGUAAUUAGCUUCAAGCUUAGAACCUCGGAUCUUGACUAUCAAGUCCUAAGUAGAAUGCAUUAAGUACAAUCGAUGAUUUCAAAUUAUUCAUAAAUAAGAUUUAAGUGUCAGCUUAUGUGGCCAAGAAAUUUAUUUUAUUUGUUAACUUUUGUUAUUAGAACUGGCCUCUCUCAACUUUCAAAUUAGACAUUUUAGAAUUUUUUUGAAAGGGCAAUUGCUUCUAUAUUCCAAAAAACUUUCAGACUUUUUUAUUUACUCUAUUUAGAAGACUAAUAUAAAAAAAAAACUCUUUUAACAUUUUAAGUUCUUUCAAGUAUAUUUUUAGAAUUAAAUUAUGUUAGUAAACUAUUAGGAACAGCCGUUUUCUUUGUGAAAUUACUAUUUUGCUCUUCUAAAUAUACUCUUUUACUAUUACCAAUUUUUUUAUUUUCUCUUAAGUUGAAACAAAAGAAGCACUUUGACUUUUUACCCUUUCAAAUAUAUCAUUCUAUUGUAACUAACUUUUCUUAUUUGUCCUUAAAUUAAGGACAAAAGAGAUUUUUUAAUUCUCUUUUUUUAAUUCUCAUAUAAAUUUAAUCCAAAUUUAAUUUGAGAUGAUUUAACAGGUACUAAUAGCAGAGAUAUUUUGAAUAACGUAGAAAUAUACAUGAGUAUAUUUGAACAAAUUAAAAAAAGUAAAGGUAUAUAAAAUAUUUCAGA
Molecule: long non-coding RNA, 1162 nt
Filed under: Ananas comosus (pineapple)
Lineage: Eukaryota; Viridiplantae; Streptophyta; Magnoliopsida; Poales; Bromeliaceae
Description: long non-coding RNA (ACOM_LNC019484)
Source: RNAcentral